CCUACGGGAGGCAGCAGUGAGGAAUAUUGGUCAAUGGACGCGAGCCUGAACCAGCCAAGUAGCGUGAAGGAUGACUGCCCUAUGGGUUGUAAACUUCUUUUAUAUGGGAAUAAAACAGGGUAUGCAUACCCUCUUGUAUGUACCAUAUGAAUAAGGAUCGGCUAACUCCGUGCCAGCAGCCGCGGUAAUACGGAGGAUCCGAGCGUUAUCCGGAUUUAUUGGGUUUAAAGGGAGCGUAGGUGGAUAGUUAAGUUAGUUGUGAAAUUUUGCGGCUCAACCGUAAAAUUGCAGUUGAAACUGGCAGUCUUGAGUACAGUAGAGGUGGGCGGAAUUCGUGGUGUAGCGGUGAAAUGCUUAGAUAUCACGAAGAACUCCGAUUGCGAAGGCAGCUCACUGGACUGCAACUGACACUGAUGCUCGAAAGUGUGGGUAUCAAACAGGAUUAGAUACCCUAGUAGUC
Molecule: ribosomal RNA, 460 nt
Filed under: uncultured bacterium
Lineage: Bacteria
Description: partial 16S ribosomal RNA
Rfam family: Bacterial small subunit ribosomal RNA
Source: RNAcentral